This 349-nucleotide ribosomal RNA is filed under the name uncultured Desulfobulbus sp. Its description in RNAcentral is "bacterial SSU rRNA". It matches the Rfam family "Bacterial small subunit ribosomal RNA", at positions 1034 to 1382 of the family's 1533-position model. The record is from RNAcentral. Lineage: Bacteria; Pseudomonadati; Thermodesulfobacteriota; Desulfobulbia; Desulfobulbales; Desulfobulbaceae.
ACAGGUGCUGCAUGGCUGUCGUCAGCUCGUGUCGUGAGAUGUUGGGUUAAGUCCCGCAACGAGCGCAACCCUUGCCUUUAGUUGCCAGCAGUUCGGCUGGGCACUCUAAAGGGACUGCCGGUGUUAAACCGGAGGAAGGUGGGGAUGACGUCAAGUCCUCAUGGCCUUUAUGACCAGGGCUACACACGUACUACAAUGGCCGAUACAAAGGGCAGCGACACUGCGAGGUGAAGCCAAUACCCGUAAAAUCGGUCUCAGUCCGGAUUGGAGUCUGCAACUCGACUCCAUGAAGUUGGAAUCGCUAGUAAUCGUGGAUCAGCAUGCCACGGUGAAUACGUUCCCGGGCCUU